AUAAAUUGAGAGUUUGAUCCUGGCUCAGGACGAACGCUGGCGGCGUGCCUAAUACAUGCAAGUCGAACGAGAAUUUCUUACACCGAGUGCUUGCACUCACCGUGAGAAAUUCGAGUGGCGGACGGGUGAGUAACACGUGGGUAACCUGCCCAAAAGAAGGGGAUAACAUUUGGAAACAAAUGCUAAUACCGUAUAACCAUGAUGACCGCAUGGUCAUUAUGUAAAAGGUGGUUCUGCUAUCGCUUUUGGAUGGA
Molecule: ribosomal RNA, 254 nt
Filed under: Ligilactobacillus aviarius
Lineage: Bacteria; Bacillati; Bacillota; Bacilli; Lactobacillales; Lactobacillaceae
Description: Lactobacillus aviarius partial 16S ribosomal RNA
Rfam family: Bacterial small subunit ribosomal RNA
Source: RNAcentral